UGUUCCUUGAAUCGAGUGGAGUAAGGAAUUCUCUUCGGCCUCCUUUGGUCAAGUGUUUGGAACUCGGAGACGCCCGUGGCCAAGAAGCGAAACUCCCUUAGGUCUGUCAAGAAAUCCAAAGGAGCUCCACAGCCAGAAGUGAGCUCAAAUUGCUACGAAGCAGAGCGCCUCAACCAUCUCCUCUAAUAACUUCCUAAAGGAGAACUACCUGAUAAGAUACGGAUCAAGCAACAAUUUGCUAUUGGGGUUAAUGAUGUCACGCGUGUUCUUGAGAGAAUGAUACAAGCAGAUGCAGAUUGCCAAUCAAACGCUAGAUAAGAUUUUUGUAAGUUCUAUUUCUCUAAAGAAAAUUAUCAUAAAUUCUUAAAAGUCAAUAGUACUCGAUCUGAAUUAUUCAUGCUUUGAGCCUUUGCUGCUUGGAAUUUAAAUGUUUAUAACAUUAAUGGACGAGGAUGA
Zingiber officinale is the source of this 456-nucleotide long non-coding RNA. RefSeq lists it as uncharacterized. The transcript is spliced from 3 exons. Lineage: Eukaryota; Viridiplantae; Streptophyta; Magnoliopsida; Zingiberales; Zingiberaceae. The record is from RefSeq and is a predicted model, not a curated record.